GACGAACGCUGGCGGCGUGCUUAACACAUGCAAGUCGAACGGAGCACCCCAGAAGGAGUUUUCGGACAACGGAUGGGAAUGCUUAGUGGCGGACUGGUGAGUAACGCGUGAGGAACCUGCCUUCCAGAGGGGGACAACAGUUGGAAACGACUGCUAAUACCGCAUGACGCGUUGGAGCCGCAUGACUCCGACGUCAAAGAUUUAUCGCUGGAAGAUGGCCUCGCGUCUGAGUAGCUAGUUGGUGAGGUAACGGCCCACCAAGGCGACGAUCAGUAGCCGGACUGAGAGGUUGGCCGGCCACAUUGGGACUGAGAUACGGCCCAG
This 324-nucleotide ribosomal RNA is filed under the name uncultured bacterium. Its description in RNAcentral is "bacterial SSU rRNA". It matches the Rfam family "Bacterial small subunit ribosomal RNA", at positions 28 to 334 of the family's 1533-position model. The record is from RNAcentral.